AGUGAACGCUGGCGGUAGGCCUAACACAUGCAAGUCGAACGGCAGCACAGUAAGAGCUUGCUCUUACGGGUGGCGAGUGGCGGACGGGUGAGGAAUACAUCGGAAUCUACUUUUUCGUGGGGGAUAACGUAGGGAAACUUACGCUAAUACCGCAUACGACCUACGGGUGAAAGCAGGGGAUCUUCGGACCUUGCGCGAUUGAAUGAGCCGAUGUCGGAUUAGCUAGUUGGCGGGGUAAAGGCCCUCCAAGGCGACGAUCCGUAGCUGGUCUGAGAGGAUGAUCAGCCACACUGGAACUGAGACACGGUCCAGACUCCUACGGGAGGCAGCAGUGGGGAAUAUUGGACAAUGGGCGCAAGCCUGAUCCAGCCAUGCCGCGUGGGUGAAGAAGGCCUUCGGGUUGUAAAGCCCUUUUGUUGGGAAAGAAAAGCAGCAGGUUAAUACCCCGCUGUUCUGACGGUACCCAAAGAAUAAGCACCGGCUAACUUCGUG
This 492-nucleotide ribosomal RNA is filed under the name uncultured bacterium. RNAcentral's name for it is "partial 16S ribosomal RNA". It matches the Rfam family "Bacterial small subunit ribosomal RNA", at positions 29 to 507 of the family's 1533-position model. The record is from RNAcentral.